Molecule: ribosomal RNA, 476 nt
Filed under: uncultured bacterium
Lineage: Bacteria
Description: bacterial SSU rRNA
Rfam family: Bacterial small subunit ribosomal RNA
Source: RNAcentral
CACUGUCACUCCUACGGGGAGGCAGCAGUGGGGAAUAUUGCACAAUGGGCGCAAGCCUGAUGCAGCCAUGCCGCGUGUGUGAAGAAGGCCUUCGGGUUGUAAAGCACUUUCAGUCGUGAGGAAGGCGGGUACGUUAAUAGCGUAUUCGUUUGACGUUAGCGACAGAAGAAAGCACCGGCUAACUCCGUGCCAGCAGCCGCGGUAAUACGGAGGGUGCGAGCGUUAAUCGGAAUUACUGGGCGUAAAGCGCAUGCAGGUGGUUUGUUAAGUCAGAUGUGAAAGCCCGGGGCUCAACCUCGGAAUAGCAUUUGAAACUGGCAGACUAGAGUACUGUAGAGGGGGGUAGGAAUUUCAGGUGUAGCGGUGAAAUGCGUAGAGAUCUGAAGGAAUACCGGUGGCGAAGGCGGCCCCCUGGACAGAUACUGACACUCAGAUGCGAAAGCGUGGGGAGCAAACAGGAUUAGAUACCCUGGUAG